AUGUCCAAUCUGUCAUCCAUUUGGUAUUGUCUCUACAAAUAUGUCAUACACGCCCACAAUUUGAGACACUACCUUAUUAUGAACAAAGUUUCCACAACAAUCCGGUAUGCAUCGCCAUUUGCUAUGACAUAUGUACACAGAGAACUUACAAGCCUUCAACAGCACCACAAUGUCACAUGUAAUUGCGAGAAUUCCAGCGAUCUUCAGGAGACCAUUUGUCUUCAUACCUACCAAGUGAGUACCCCGCAGCAGGUAUAUCAGCGAGAUGCAGAGGAUCAGGUUCUAUACCAUAGUCUGUCAAUGGUCGGUGCUCAAGGAUCUUGUCAUGUUCAGUAA
This 336-nucleotide ribosomal RNA is filed under the name Triticum aestivum (bread wheat). RNAcentral's name for it is "partial small subunit ribosomal RNA". Lineage: Eukaryota; Viridiplantae; Streptophyta; Magnoliopsida; Poales; Poaceae. The record is from RNAcentral.